GUCGUAACAAGGUUUCCGUAGGUGAACCUGCGGAAGGAUCAUUAUUGAAUAAACUUGGUUGGGUUGUUGCUGGCUUUUCGGAGCAUGUGCACGCCUAGCGCCAUUUUUACCACCUGUGCACUUCUUGUAGAUUUGAAACAUCUCUCGAGGAAACUCGGUUUGAGGACUGCUAUGCGUAAAAGCUAAGCUUUCCUUGCGUUUCAAGUCUAUGUUUUUAUAUACCCCAUAAGAAUGUUUUAGAAUGUCAUUAAUGGGCUUCAUUGCCUCUAAAUUAAUACAACUUUCAACAACGGAUCUCUUGGCUCUCGCAUCGAUGAAGAACGCAGCGAAAUGCGAUAAGUAAUGUGAAUUGCAGAAUUCAGUGAAUCAUCGAAUCUUUGAACGCACCUUGCGCUCCUUGGUAUUCCGAGGAGCAUGCCUGUUUGAGUGUCAUUAAAUUCUCAACCUUUUCAGCUUUUGCGAGUUGGAUUGGCUUGGAUGUGGGGGUUUGCGGGCUUCUCAGAAGUCGGCUCCUCUUAAAUGCAUUAGCGGAACCUUUGUGGACCAGCUUUGGUGUGAUAAUUAUCUACGCCAUGGUUGUGAAGCAGCUUUACAUGGGGUUCAGCUUCUAACCGUCCAUUAACUUGGACAAAUUUUGACAUUUUGACCUCAAAUCAGGUAGGACUACCCGCUGAACUAA
This 679-nucleotide ribosomal RNA is filed under the name Clitocybe fragrans. RNAcentral's name for it is "eukaryotic LSU rRNA". The stretch from base 279 to 432 matches the Rfam family "5.8S ribosomal RNA". The record is from RNAcentral. Lineage: Eukaryota; Fungi; Basidiomycota; Agaricomycetes; Agaricales; Clitocybaceae. RNAcentral also lists the same sequence under 1 other name.